GUAUCAGAAUCAGCUCCUGCGACCAAAGGUGUUGGAACUGCUGCUGGACCUAUACCAGAAGACUUUUUCCAGAACACAAUACCAUCCCUCCAGGUUGCAGCUGCUUUGCCUCCUCCUGGAUCUUAUCUUUCAAAGUUGGAUCAAACUCCUCAAAAGGUUGAAGUUGGUGGAAAGGUACCACCUGACCAUGUAAAUGCACCUGCGGCUGAUAUUGGUCUCCCCGGUGGUGGGGUUCCUCCUCAGUCCGCUGAACAACCUAUUCCUCCUGAGUCUCUUGCACUUCCUGGUGGCGGUAUUCCUCCACAAUACUCAGCUCCAGCUGCUGGUUUGCCACAGCCUCAAGUUCAGCCUGCUCAAAUGCCACUAUCCACGCAACCUCUUGACCUUAGUGCUCUUGGAGUUCCAAACUCUGCAGAGUCUGAAAAAC
RNAcentral lists this long non-coding RNA (427 nucleotides) under Gossypium raimondii (Peruvian cotton). Its description in RNAcentral is "long non-coding RNA (GRAI_LNC006230)". Lineage: Eukaryota; Viridiplantae; Streptophyta; Magnoliopsida; Malvales; Malvaceae. The record is from RNAcentral.